RNAcentral lists this long non-coding RNA (224 nucleotides) under Elaeis guineensis (African oil palm). RNAcentral's name for it is "long non-coding RNA (EGUI_LNC068174)". Lineage: Eukaryota; Viridiplantae; Streptophyta; Magnoliopsida; Arecales; Arecaceae. The record is from RNAcentral.
UCUAAAUCCAACUGACACUUCAUAAGCUCAAUUACUAAUUUCAGACCUAAUCUCUUUGUUGUGUGACCCCAUAGAUUCAAUUCUAUCUGGUAGUGAGAUAUACAAUGAUCUCUAUCAAAAUAUUAUUAAAACUCUUUUUAAUAGAUCGAAAUAAUUUCACUCUAACUCAUUAAAGAUUGUCGAUCCAGAACAAUCCUAAUGAGCUCUCACAAUCUACCAGUGAC